Molecule: ribosomal RNA, 231 nt
Filed under: uncultured Comamonadaceae bacterium
Lineage: Bacteria; Pseudomonadati; Pseudomonadota; Betaproteobacteria; Burkholderiales; Comamonadaceae
Description: partial 16S ribosomal RNA
Rfam family: Bacterial small subunit ribosomal RNA
Source: RNAcentral
AUUGAACGCUGGCGGCAUGCCUUACACAUGCAAGUCGAACGGCAGCACGGGAGCAAUCCUGGUGGCGAGUGGCGAACGGGUGAGUAAUACAUCGGAACGUGCCCAAUCGUGGGGGAUAACGCAGCGAAAGCUGUGCUAAUACCGCAUACGAUCUACGGAUGAAAGCAGGGUAUCGCAAGACCUUGCGCGAAUGGAGCGGCCGAUGGCAGAUUAGGUAGUUGGGGAGGUAAA